This 86-nucleotide microRNA precursor is filed under the name Branchiostoma floridae (Florida lancelet). RNAcentral describes it as "mir-2060 microRNA precursor family". It matches the Rfam family "mir-2060 microRNA precursor family". The record is from Rfam by way of RNAcentral. Lineage: Eukaryota; Metazoa; Chordata; Leptocardii; Amphioxiformes; Branchiostomatidae.
CUGUGUGGAUGGAGUUCAGCACCAACGGCAGGUGUGUUCACUUGUGUGUGGAUGGUGUUCAGCACCAAGGACAGAUGUGUUUACCA